RNAcentral lists this ribosomal RNA (953 nucleotides) under Salmonella enterica. RNAcentral's name for it is "partial 23S ribosomal RNA". It matches the Rfam family "Bacterial large subunit ribosomal RNA", at positions 1918 to 2865 of the family's 2925-position model. The record is from RNAcentral. Lineage: Bacteria; Pseudomonadati; Pseudomonadota; Gammaproteobacteria; Enterobacterales; Enterobacteriaceae. RNAcentral also lists the same sequence under 2 other names.
CCCCGGUAAACGGCGGCCGUAACUAUAACGGUCCUAAGGUAGCGAAAUUCCUUGUCGGGUAAGUUCCGACCUGCACGAAUGGCGUAAUGAUGGCCAGGCUGUCUCCACCCGAGACUCAGUGAAAUUGAACUCGCUGUGAAGAUGCAGUGUACCCGCGGCAAGACGGAAAGACCCCGUGAACCUUUACUAUAGCUUGACACUGAACAUUGAGCCUUGAUGUGUAGGAUAGGUGGGAGGCUUUGAAGUGUGGACGCCAGUCUGCAUGGAGCCGACCUUGAAAUACCACCCUUUAAUGUUUGAUGUUCUAACGUGGACCCGUAAUCCGGGUUGCGGACAGUGUCUGGUGGGUAGUUUGACUGGGGCGGUCUCCUCCUAAAGAGUAACGGAGGAGCACGAAGGUUGGCUAAUCCUGGUCGGACAUCAGGAGGUUAGUGCAAUGGCAUAAGCCAGCUUGACUGCGAGCGUGACGGCGCGAGCAGGUGCGAAAGCAGGUCAUAGUGAUCCGGUGGUUCUGAAUGGAAGGGCCAUCGCUCAACGGAUAAAAGGUACUCCGGGGAUAACAGGCUGAUACCGCCCAAGAGUUCAUAUCGACGGCGGUGUUUGGCACCUCGAUGUCGGCUCAUCACAUCCUGGGGCUGAAGUAGGUCCCAAGGGUAUGGCUGUUCGCCAUUUAAAGUGGUACGCGAGCUGGGUUUAGAACGUCGUGAGACAGUUCGGUCCCUAUCUGCCGUGGGCGCUGGAGAACUGAGGGGGGCUGCUCCUAGUACGAGAGGACCGGAGUGGACGCAUCACUGGUGUUCGGGUUGUCAUGCCAAUGGCACUGCCCGGUAGCUAAAUGCGGAAGAGAUAAGUGCUGAAAGCAUCUAAGCACGAAACUUGCCCCGAGAUGAGUUCUCCCUGAGACUUAGAGUCUCCUGAAGGAACGUUGAAGACGACGACGUUGAUAGGCCGGG